This 770-nucleotide ribosomal RNA is filed under the name Listeria monocytogenes. RNAcentral describes it as "bacterial LSU rRNA". It matches the Rfam family "Bacterial large subunit ribosomal RNA", at positions 1398 to 2164 of the family's 2925-position model. The record is from RNAcentral. Lineage: Bacteria; Bacillati; Bacillota; Bacilli; Caryophanales; Listeriaceae.
GAGGCCGAUAGGCGUAGGCGAUGGACAACAGGUAGAGAUUCCUGUACCAGUGCUAAUUGUUUAACCGAUGGGGUGACACAGAAGGAUAGGGAAUCGCACGAAUGGAAAUGUGCGUCCAAGCAGUGAGUGUGAGAAGUAGGCAAAUCCGCUUCUCGCGAAGCAUGAGCUGUGAUGGGGAAGGAAAUUAAGUACGGAAGUUCCUGAUUUCACGCUGUCAAGAAAAGCCUCUAGGAAGAGUAGUACUGCCCGUACCGCAAACCGACACAGGUAGAUGAGGAGAGAAUCCUAAGGUGAGCGAGAGAACUCUCGUUAAGGAACUCGGCAAAAUGACCCCGUAACUUCGGGAGAAGGGGUGCUCUAUUAGGGUGCAAGCCCGAGAGAGCCGCAGUGAAUAGGCCCAGGCGACUGUUUAGCAAAAACACAGGUCUCUGCAAAACCGUAAGGUGACGUAUAGGGGCUGACGCCUGCCCGGUGCUGGAAGGUUAAGAGGAGUGCUUAGCUUCGGCGAAGGUACGAAUUGAAGCCCCAGUAAACGGCGGCCGUAACUAUAACGGUCCUAAGGUAGCGAAAUUCCUUGUCGGGUAAGUUCCGACCCGAACGAAAGGCGCAACGAUCUGGGCACUGUCUCAACGAGAGACUCGGUGAAAUUAUAGUACCUGUGAAGAUGCAGGUUACCCGCGACAGGACGGAAAGACCCCGUGGAGCUUUACUGCAACCUGAUAUGGAAUGUUUGUACCGCUUGUACAGGAUAGGUAGGAGCCGAAGAGACG